This is a non-coding RNA of Schizosaccharomyces pombe (fission yeast), 955 nucleotides long. The record is from the annotation of a GenBank genome assembly. Lineage: Eukaryota; Fungi; Ascomycota; Schizosaccharomycetes; Schizosaccharomycetales; Schizosaccharomycetaceae.
ACCCCCUUGCGAUCACGAAUAUUGGGAAAGGACUCAAGCAUUGCGCAUUUAACAUAGUAUUCCGUUAUAUUAGAAAAAUCGUUGCUCUUGGGAAUAGUAGAGUCUUUAAAACAAAAUUUUUCUAAAUAAGCCAUGCGAAGAUGAUAAUAUCCAACCCAAUCAAGUUCAGGAAUAGCACAUCUUGCUAAGGCACGUGCUGCUUCUUGUCGAAUGCCAUAAUAAUACCUAUUAUCCAAUAGUGUACGAAGCAAAACGGUAGAAACUUGCUGAGAGACCGUAAAGCUCUCACUAGUAAAGUGCCGAAUAGUUUCUAGUUGCGCAACUACAUCUCUAUCUUGCUGUAACUGAGAGACAUACAUAUGUUCCGGCUGCCGCACACGUAGAUCACAAAUCCAUUCGAAGUCUGCAUCAACCCGAAUCCAUUCGAAAGCCUCAGUCGCCAUUGUAUCUUCCUCUUCUUUAGUAUAGUCAUAUAAAUGCCAACGCUCUAUAUCUUCGUCACUUUGCAAAACAUCCCCCAAACUUCGGAUAACGUAGUCAGAAUCAUCACCAUUAUGGUCACCAUCCCUUUUGACAUUUUUUGUAGACCUGUUUCUACUAAUUCUUUUAUAUUUAGUAUUGUAUUGAAUAUCGAGUUUGGUAAAAGAAUCCUUUAACUCAACCACGUGUUCAUACGGUGUACCAUCGGCCUCGUGAAUUCGAAUGGUCAUGGGUCCACUGAAAACAGGAAGGCCGGUAGGAAUGCUUUCGUUAUUCAAAUGACGGAUGGCGUCGCUUAAAAAGUUUUUGUCAGACAUUGGGGCUCGGGGGGCCUCUUUUGUUUGAACCUGAUCAAUUCCCAUUUCGAUGAUCAUUUUCUUACGAUUGAACCUUUGUACUACUCUAAAAAUUGGAUAGCCGUAGCCAUAAAUCCAUUGUUGAGCAAAAACGUCGAGCCGCAUGUGACUAGCUUUUU